This 102-nucleotide microRNA precursor is filed under the name Olea europaea subsp. europaea. Its description in RNAcentral is "mir-393 microRNA precursor family". It matches the Rfam family "mir-393 microRNA precursor family". Lineage: Eukaryota; Viridiplantae; Streptophyta; Magnoliopsida; Lamiales; Oleaceae. The record is from Rfam by way of RNAcentral.
AAAUGAGACUUCCAAAGGGAUCGCAUUGAUCCCAAGUCUAUAUUCAAAACUGAGUUUUGAAUGAAUGAAUCUGGAUCAUGCUAUCCCUUUGGAUGCCUCCUU